UUUUCCUUUCGAAGAAAUCCUGUCAUCCCUUAGAAUAGAAGAGCUCCUAGAUGGCGGACAGGGGACGGUGGGUGUACAUAAAUAUUUAUUUCGGUGAAUGAAUAACGUUUAGUCAUCAACAUGUCGGUCAAAUUUAAUGGCAGGCAGCCCGACAUGUUAAUAGCUUGCUGUAAAAUAUGGAUUGCGCAACGCGCGGAAUCAUGACUCCACGAGUCCGCAUUAAUUAUUGGGAGAAUUAUGCGAGGCAAGGCGUUUACAUACUUGUUAACGUUUACUCAAUCGUAAAUAUACCGUGGCCGAUUGCAUCUCCGAACGUUAUACGAGGGGGAGUUGUCGUUAUUCCGUUUUCCGGCGAUCCCGCCGCGUCGUUGCGCAUUCAUGUUUAAUAUUGACCACGCAAAUUUACGGCUCGACAACUGUAAAUCGCAUCCGGCGAUGCUUCCAGCGGGAAUCGGGCCUGCAGGAAGUAACCUGUGUUUUUGGAUCAACAAAUUAUUGCACCGAUAGUAAAAUCGUUGACGACGCAGGUUUAAAAUUACUGCUUUCAAUAUAUUUAUGCAAAGUAGAAAUUUUCUGUGUCGACGACACGAGACCAGAAGCUAAAUGGAAUAUUUCUUUCUUCAAUCACCUAUAGAUACUUAUGCAAAAUAGACAUUUUCUGUGUCAACUGCAUGAAUGGAAGCCAAGUAGAAUAUUUCUUUCUUCAAUCACCUGUAGAUACUUGUGCGAAAUAAAAAUUUUCUAUGUAAAUUGUACGAGAAGCCAAAUAGAAUCGAUUUUUCUUCGAUCAUUUAAGAAAGAACGAGACGAAUAAGAUAGAAGAUGUAGCAAAUAUCAAUGAAGACAUUUAGAACACGUUGGAUUGUUAAUAUUAGCUCAAUAAGCACAGUCGCUUGGAACGUCAUGAAUUUCAUUGUUUGCAACGUUACACGGCAAUUGGCUGGUUUCAGUCGACACGGAGCCAAUGAACUAAUAAACAAGGUAAAACCUCGAUUAUUACAAUCCGCGUAAGUGGUAAAUGCUGGAUAGAAAUGUUGGCGUGCAUUUCAGUAGGACGUCAACACGCGUGCGUGUGACUCGGUUGCCUUGAACCAAAAUCAUUGAGACAGAACAGACAUGAUCGUUUUAAUCAUGUUAAGCACUUUGUUUAUAUUAAUAACGACGAAAUCGUUUUCACUUGUUAAGCGAAACCAGUUUAUAGAUUAUAAUGCCACAUAGAAUUCAUUUCGAUUAAUCAACUUAACAAAGAUGAUCAGAGAUUAUGCAAUGUUAUAAACAUUAUAUCCGCGAU
Molecule: long non-coding RNA, 1291 nt
Organism: Megalopta genalis
Lineage: Eukaryota; Metazoa; Arthropoda; Insecta; Hymenoptera; Halictidae
Source: RefSeq, a predicted model, not a curated record